Molecule: long non-coding RNA, 210 nt
Filed under: Elaeis guineensis (African oil palm)
Lineage: Eukaryota; Viridiplantae; Streptophyta; Magnoliopsida; Arecales; Arecaceae
Description: long non-coding RNA (EGUI_LNC047323)
Source: RNAcentral
UAUGUAUCAUGACUACUUUUAGAUCACUACUGAUUACAUCUAAUGUAACAUACUUUUUAGAUUUUAAAAUAAUUUUUAUAUCUGAAUCUAUCUUAUUGUAAUGAGUCAUAAAUUACUUUAGAUUUAAUCUAAACUUAUUUAUGAUCAAAAUAAUUCAUAAAAAUUUAUUUCGCUCUUCUUCUUUAUGAAAUCAGAUCACAAUAACACCCC